UGGGGAAUUUUGCGCAAUGGGCGAAAGCCUGACGCAGCAACGCCGCGUGGAGGAUGAAGGUCUUCGGAUCGUAAACUCCUGUCGAUGGGGAAGAAUGCUUCGCAAGAAGUUUGACUGUACCCGUUGAGGAAGCCACGGCUAACUCCGUGCCAGCAGCCGCGGUAAUACGGAGGUGGCAAGCGUUGUUCGGAAUUACUGGGCGUAAAGGGCGCGUAGGCGGCUUUGCAAGUCAGUUGUGAAAGCCCCGUGCUUAACUCGGGAAUUGCAUCUGAAACUGCUUAGCUUGAGUCCUGGAUGGGGUAGUGGAAUGCCCAGUGUAGCGGUGAAAUGCGUAGAUAUUGGGAGGAACACCUGCGGCGAAGGCGGCUACCUGGACAGUGACUGACGCUGAGGCGCGAAAGCUAGGGGAGCGAACG
RNAcentral lists this ribosomal RNA (416 nucleotides) under uncultured prokaryote. RNAcentral's name for it is "bacterial SSU rRNA". It matches the Rfam family "Bacterial small subunit ribosomal RNA", at positions 355 to 774 of the family's 1533-position model. The record is from RNAcentral.